RNAcentral lists this transfer RNA (73 nucleotides) under Ornithorhynchus anatinus (platypus). It matches the Rfam family "tRNA". From Rfam's summary of the family: Transfer RNA (tRNA) molecules are approximately 80 nucleotides in length. Their secondary structure includes four short double-helical elements and three loops (D, anti-codon, and T loops). Further hydrogen bonds mediate the characteristic L-shaped molecular structure. tRNAs have two regions of fundamental functional importance: the anti-codon, which is responsible for specific mRNA codon recognition, and the 3' end, to which the tRNAs corresponding amino acid is attached (by aminoacyl-tRNA synthetases). tRNAs cope with the degeneracy of the genetic code in two manners: having more than one tRNA (with a specific anti-codon) for a particular amino acid; and 'wobble' base-pairing, i.e. permitting non-standard base-pairing at the 3rd anti-codon position. Lineage: Eukaryota; Metazoa; Chordata; Mammalia; Monotremata; Ornithorhynchidae. The record is from Rfam by way of RNAcentral.
AGCAGUGUAGUUUAGUGGAUAGACCAUGGGCUUGGGAGUCAGAAGGACCUGGGUUCUAAUCCCAGCUCUGCCA